AUUUUUCAAUUUAAUUUUUUGUUGUUUUUUUACAAAUCGAAUAACCCCAUUUUAAAUUUUAAUCGUGCUCGAUUGUGCCGAGGUCAAGAGAUUUAGACUUGGUGGGGUAUAAUAUAGUGAGACCUCAAAAUCCACGCCAGUUCCAAAAUUAAAGUCAACAUGAAAUUACUGAUUGUCCUUUUCCUUUUAUUUGCCACUGCUAUGGCCCUGGAUUGCUGGUGUGAAUAUGACGAUUAUGUUGAUUAUGAGUUUAUUAAUCGCUUUAAAAGGGACCUUAAGAGACAAAAGCGAUGCACUUGGACAUGUGGCCCAUGGGGUUAAACAAUCAAAUUUAAAGCAAACUUUGUUUUCUUAAAAAAUAAUAAAAAAAAACCGUUAAGUACUGGGAUUCAAAGAUAUUCGUAAAAUCAGGAAUUUUAUAAAAAAAAUAAAAUUUUACAAC
This is a long non-coding RNA of Drosophila takahashii, 442 nucleotides long. RefSeq lists it as uncharacterized. The record is from RefSeq and is a predicted model, not a curated record. Lineage: Eukaryota; Metazoa; Arthropoda; Insecta; Diptera; Drosophilidae.